UGUGAGCUCGAUGAGUAGGGCGGGACACGUGGUAUCCUGUCUGAAUAUGGGGGGACCAUCCUCCAAGGCUAAAUACUCCUGACUGACCGAUAGUGAACCAGUACCGUGAGGGAAAGGCGAAAAGAACCCCGGCGAGGGGAGUGAAAAAGAACCUGAAACCGUGUACGUACAAGCAGUGGGAGCCUCUUUAUGGGGUGACUGCGUACCUUUUGUAUAAUGGGUCAGCGACUUAUAUUCUGUAGCAAGGUUAACCGAAUAGGGGAGCCGAAGGGAAACCGAGUCUUAACUGGGCGUUAAGUUGCAGGGUAUAGACCCGAAACCCGGUGAUCUAGCCAUGGGCAGGUUGAAGGUUGGGUAACACUAACUGGAGGACCGAACCGACUAAUGUUGAAAAAUUAGCGGAUGACUUGUGGCUGGGGGUGAAAGGCCAAUCAAACCGGGAGAUAGCUGGUUCUCCCCGAAAGCUAUUUAGGUAGCGCCUCGUGAAUUCAUCUCCGGGGGUAGAGCACUGUUUCGGCAAGGGGGUCAUCCCGACUUACCAACCCGAUGCAAACUGCGAAUACCGGAGAAUGUUAUCACGGGAGACACACGGCGGGUGCUAACGUCCGUCGUGAAGAGGGAAACAACCCAGACCGCCAGCUAAGGUCCCAAAGUCAUGGUUAAGUGGGAAACGAUGUGGGAAGGCCCAGACAGCCAGGAUGUUGGCUUAGAAGCAGCCAUCAUUUAAAGAAAGCGUAAUAGCUCACUGGUCGAGUCGGCCUGCGCGGAAGAUGUAACGGGGCUAAACCAUGCACCGAAGCUGCGGCAGCGACGCUUAUGCGUUGUUGGGUAGGGGAGCGUUCUGUAAGCCUGUGAAGGUGGCCUGUGAGGGUUGCUGGAGGUAUCAGAAGUGCGAAUGCUGACAUAAGUAACGAUAAAGCGGGUGAAAAGCCCGCUCGCCGGAAGACCAAGGGUUCCUGUCCAACGUUAAUCGGGGCAGGGUGAGUCGACCCCUAAGGCGAGGCCGAAAGGCGUAGUCGAUGGGAAACAGGUUAAUAUUCCUGUACUUGGUGUUACUGCGAAGGGGGGACGGAGAAGGCUAUGUUGGCCGGGCGACGGUUGUCCCGGUUUAAGCGUGUAGGCUGGUUUUCCAGGCAAAUCCGGAAAACCAAGGCUGAGGCGUGAUGACGAGGCACUACGGUGCUGAAGCGACAAAUGCCCUGCUUCCAGGAAAAGCCUCUAAGCAUCAGGUAACAUCAAAUCGUACCCCAAACCGACACAGGUGGUCAGGUAGAGAAUACCAAGGCGCUUGAGAGAACUCGGGUGAAGGAACUAGGCAAAAUGGUGCCGUAACUUCGGGAGAAGGCACGCUGAUAUGUAGGUGAAGCGACUUGCUCGUGGAGCUGAAAUCAGUCGAAGAUACCAGCUGGCUGCAACUGUUUAUUAAAAACACAGCACUGUGCAAACACGAAAGUGGACGUAUACGGUGUGACGCCUGCCCGGUGCCGGAAGGUUAAUUGAUGGGGUUAGCGGCAACGCGAAGCUCUUGAUCGAAGCCCCGGUAAACGGCGGCCGUAACUAUAACGGUCCUAAGGUAGCGAAAUUCCUUGUCGGGUAAGUUCCGACCUGCACGAAUGGCGUAAUGAUGGCCAGGCUGUCUCCACCCGAGACUCAGUGAAAUUGAACUCGCUGUGAAGAUGCAGUGUACCCGCGGCAAGACGGAAAGACCCCGUGAACCUUUACUAUAGCUUGACACUGAACAUUGAGCCUUGAUGUGUAGGAUAGGUGGGAGGCUUUGAAGUGUGGACGCCAGUCUGCAUGGAGCCGACCUUGAAAUACCACCCUUUAAUGUUUGAUGUUCUAACGUUGGCCCGUAAUCCGGGUUGCGGACAGUGUCUGGUGGGUAGUUUGACUGGGGCGGUCUCCUCCUAAAGAGUAACGGAGGAGCACGAAGGUUGGCUAAUCCUGGUCGGACAUCAGGAGGUUAGUGCAAUGGCAUAAGCCAGCUUGACUGCGAGCGUGACGGCGCGAGCAGGUGCGAAAGCAGGUCAUAGUGAUCCGGUGGUUCUGAAUGGAAGGGCCAUCGCUCAACGGAUAAAAGGUACUCCGGGGAUAACAGGCUGAUACCGCCCAAGAGUUCAUAUCGACGGCGGUGUUUGGCACCUCGAUGUCGGCUCAUCACAUCCUGGGGCUGAAGUAGGUCCCAAGGGUAUGGCUGUUCGCCAUUUAAAGUGGUACGCGAGCUGGGUUUAGAACGUCGUGAGACAGUUCGGUCCCUAUCUGCCGUGGGCGCUGGAGAACUGAGGGGGGCUGCUCCUAGUACGAGAGGACCGGAGUGGACGCAUCACUGGUGUUCGGGUUGUCAUGCCAAUGGCACUGCCCGGUAGCUAAAUGCGGAAGAGAUAAGUGCUGAAAGCAUCUAAGCACGAAACUUGCCCCGAGAUGAGUUCUCCCUGACUCCUUGAGAGUCCUGAAGGAACGUUGAAGACGACGACGUUGAUAGGCCGGGUGUGUAAGCGCAGCGAUGCGUUGAGCUAACCGGUACUAAUGAACCGUGAGGCUUAACCUU
Molecule: ribosomal RNA, 2548 nt
Filed under: Escherichia coli UMEA 3244-1
Lineage: Bacteria; Pseudomonadati; Pseudomonadota; Gammaproteobacteria; Enterobacterales; Enterobacteriaceae
Description: bacterial LSU rRNA
Rfam family: Bacterial large subunit ribosomal RNA
Source: RNAcentral